CCUACGGGAGGCAGCAGUGGGGAAUAUUGGACAAUGGACGAAAGUCUGAUCCAGCAAUGCCGCGUGAAUGAUGAAGGCCUUAGGGUUGUAAAGUUCUUUUAGUGGGGAAGCGGUACCCACAGAAAAAGCACCGGCUAACUUCGUGCCAGCAGCCGCGGUAAUACGAAGGGUGCAAGCGUUGUUCGGAAUUACUGGGCGUAAAGCGCGCGUAGGCGGUUUGAUAAGUUGGAAGUGAAAUCCCAGAGCUUAACUCUGGAAUUGCUUUCAAAACUGUCAAGCUAGAGUAUGGCAGGGGACAGUGGAAUUCCUAGUGUAGAGGUGAAAUUCGUAGAUAUUAGGAGGAACACCAGUGGCGAAAGCGACUGUCUGGACCAUACUGACGCUGAGGCGCGAAAGCGUGGGGAGCAAACAGGAUUAGAUACCCUUGUAGUC
RNAcentral lists this ribosomal RNA (432 nucleotides) under uncultured bacterium. Its description in RNAcentral is "partial 16S ribosomal RNA". It matches the Rfam family "Bacterial small subunit ribosomal RNA", at positions 338 to 795 of the family's 1533-position model. The record is from RNAcentral.